CCGUAUCGGUUAGACUGGGAUACUCAUCAAUUUAAAUAAGAAAACCGAGUACUUUUCCGUUUCCAAUGGCGGGCCAUAUAAAUCCCAAGUGGACUAAGCUGCAAAGCCGGUGGAUUACAAAGGGACGGAAAUCUCAAAUCAUAUAUAUACGGAGUUUUCAUCACAUCACCGGUGCGGUCUUUUU
Molecule: small RNA, 184 nt
Filed under: uncultured Prevotella sp.
Lineage: Bacteria; Pseudomonadati; Bacteroidota; Bacteroidia; Bacteroidales; Prevotellaceae
Description: Bacteroidales-1 6S-Bacteroidales RNA suggested
Rfam family: Bacteroidales-1 6S-Bacteroidales RNA suggested
Source: RNAcentral